Molecule: ribosomal RNA, 575 nt
Filed under: Escherichia coli
Lineage: Bacteria; Pseudomonadati; Pseudomonadota; Gammaproteobacteria; Enterobacterales; Enterobacteriaceae
Description: bacterial SSU rRNA
Rfam family: Bacterial small subunit ribosomal RNA
Source: RNAcentral
GAUGUCGACUUGGAGGUUGUGCCCUUGAGGCGUGGCUUCCGGAGCUAACGCGUUAAGUCGACCGCCUGGGGAGUACGGCCGCAAGGUUAAAACUCAAAUGAAUUGACGGGGGCCCGCACAAGCGGUGGAGCAUGUGGUUUAAUUCGAUGCAACGCGAAGAACCUUACCUGGUCUUGACAUCCACAGAACUUUCCAGAGAUGGAUUGGUGCCUUCGGGAACUGUGAGACAGGUGCUGCAUGGCUGUCGUCAGCUCGUGUUGUGAAAUGUUGGGUUAAGUCCCGCAACGAGCGCAACCCUUAUCCUUUGUUGCCAGCGGUCCGGCCGGGAACUCAAAGGAGACUGCCAGUGAUAAACUGGAGGAAGGUGGGGAUGACGUCAAGUCAUCAUGGCCCUUACGACCAGGGCUACACACGUGCUACAAUGGCGCAUACAAAGAGAAGCGACCUCGCGAGAGCAAGCGGACCUCAUAAAGUGCGUCGUAGUCCGGAUUGGAGUCUGCAACUCGACUCCAUGAAGUCGGAAUCGCUAGUAAUCGUGGAUCAGAAUGCCACGGUGAAUACGUUCCCGGGCCUUG